AGUGAACGCUGGCGGCAGGCCUAAUACAUGCCAGUCGAACGGCAGCACAGUGGAGCUUGCUCCAUGUGUGGCGAGUGGCGGACGGGUGAGGAAUACAUGGGAAUCUGCCCAGUCGUGGGGGAUAACGUAGGGAAACUUACGCUAAUACCGCAUGCGCCCUUCGGGGGAAAGCCGGGGACCUUCGGGCCUGGCGCGAUUGGAUGAGCCCAUGUUCGAUUAGCUAGUUGGCGGGGUAAAGGCCCACCAAGGCGACGAUCGAUAGCUGGUCUGAGAGGAUGAUCAGCCACACUGGGACUGAGACACGGCCCAGACUCCUACGGGAGGUAGCAGUAGGGAAUAUUGGACAAUGGGCGCAAGCCUGAUCCAGCCAUGCCGCGUGAGUGAAGAAGGCCCUCGGGUUGUAAAGCUCUUUUGUCCGGGAAGAAAAGCAUCGGGCUAAUACCUCGGUGUUCUGACGGUACCGGAAGAAUAAGCACCGGCUAACUUCGUG
RNAcentral lists this ribosomal RNA (490 nucleotides) under uncultured bacterium. Its description in RNAcentral is "partial 16S ribosomal RNA". It matches the Rfam family "Bacterial small subunit ribosomal RNA", at positions 29 to 507 of the family's 1533-position model. The record is from RNAcentral.